AACGAACGCUGGCGGCAUGCCUAACACAUGCAAGUCGAACGAGACCUUCGGGUCUAGUGGCGCACGGGUGCGUAACGCGUGGGAAUCUGCCCAAAGGUUCGGAAUAACUCAGGGAAACUUGAGCUAAUACCGGAUAAUGUCGCAAGACCAAAGAUUUAUUGCCUUUGGAUGAGCCCGCGUAGGAUUAGCUAGUUGGUGGGUAAAGCCUACCAAGGCGACGAUCCUUAGCUGGUCNGAGAGGAUGAUCAGCCACACUGGGACUGAGACACGGCCCAGACUCCUACGGGAGGCAGCAGUGGGGAAUAUUGGACAAUGGGCGAAAGCCUGAUCCAGCAAUGCCGCGUGAGUGAUGAAGGCC
RNAcentral lists this ribosomal RNA (358 nucleotides) under uncultured bacterium. Its description in RNAcentral is "bacterial SSU rRNA". It matches the Rfam family "Bacterial small subunit ribosomal RNA", at positions 29 to 416 of the family's 1533-position model. The record is from RNAcentral.